GACGAACGCUGGCGGCGUGCUUAACACAUGCAAGUCGAACGGAAAGGCCUGCUUUCCCUUGUGGAUUGCGGGUACUCGAGUGGCGAACGGGUGAGUAACACGUGAGUGAUCUGCCCCCAACUUGGGUAUAAGCCUGGGAAAUUGGGUCUAAUUCCCGAUAGGACUGCAGGGUGGUGCCUGUGGUGGAAAACGAUUUUCUAGUGGUUGGGGAUGAGCUCGCGGCCUAUCAGCUUGUUGGUGGGGUAAUGGCCUACCAAGGCGGCGACGGGUAGCCGGCCUGGGAGGGUGGACGGCCACAUUGGGACUGAGAUACGGCCCAGACUCCUACGGGAGGCAGCAGUGGGGAAUAUUGCACAAUGGGCGGAAGCCUGAUGCAGCGACGCCGCGUGGGGGAUGACGGCCUUCGGGUUGUAAACUCCUUUCGACCGCGAGGAAGCCACCUGGUUGGAAGGGUGGUGACGGUAGUGGUAGAAGAAGCACCGGCUAACUACGUG
This 494-nucleotide ribosomal RNA is filed under the name uncultured bacterium. RNAcentral's name for it is "partial 16S ribosomal RNA". It matches the Rfam family "Bacterial small subunit ribosomal RNA", at positions 28 to 507 of the family's 1533-position model. The record is from RNAcentral.